Molecule: long non-coding RNA, 2536 nt
Filed under: Pan troglodytes (chimpanzee)
Lineage: Eukaryota; Metazoa; Chordata; Mammalia; Primates; Hominidae
Description: long non-coding RNA NONPTRT005259
Source: RNAcentral
CUUCACUCUUGAGAGCUGAGAGUAGGUGGGAAGCAGCUCAUGGUAAGAGGGUUCAGAGGCCGCCUUUCCCUCUCUGCGCACUGCCCAGUUCUUCUAGUCCCAUGUCCUGGGACAGUACCAUACCUGUGUGUGUCCUGCCUGCGUUGCUGUGACCACUUUUAGUGGAAUCAGGUACAGUGCAGCUCUGCAGCUUCUGCAAAUUGCCACACUCCCACUCUCAAGCAGGUUGAGUGCUACGAGUGAUUUUUAGACCAUUUGUUUAUUCCCUUAUCAUGGCUUUUUGUGACUUCUUCCUCCCCAGUCCCUUGGGUCACCUUUAAAGGUAAAGUAAUCCUGAGGUGGUUGAAUUUACGGAAAUGCUAUGCAUUGUUGUGAAUGGAAUGUUCACCGGGCCAACAUCUUUUUGGAACUUUGAGCAGACUGAUAGUCUGGUUGCACAUUUGAUUUGUCUGGCAGUAAAUGUUGGACAGUAUUUGGACUGAUGGAAGCUAGAGACAAACACAUUGACUAUUGUUGAAUAACACUGGAAACAUCUUAGGAGAGCAGUACAUUAGCUAAUUUAAUAGGUACAUAAACUGAAUCCCACUGUCUUGUGCUUGAUGGACCAGCAGACACAUAUGCUUGUAUCGUUCUCAUGUUUCUACAUGUUUACCCUAUUCCCACAGGUCAACAAAGACAAGGCACCUAGCCUCACAUGAAACUUUAUUCCUUUCCCUUUUGAGAUGUGACAUGAAAGAAAAUAACAGAAAUGAUUUUUCCGUCCCAUCCUCAGGGACCAGUGGGAAUGAAUUUUACCAUCCCACCCUCAAGGGCCAGAUUGGAAGUGAUAUUGGUGGAAGACAACAUUUUGCCGCUUGGAAUUCUCACCUCCACACCAAAGAAGUACUGUUUUUGUCAUUUGCACCAGCUUCUUUCUCCAGGAAAGAUCAAAACGAUGCACUGCAAGGGCAUGCCAUAUACCCCUCAGGACCUGAAGCAAGAGAAUGAAUUAAAGAAAACUCCAGAGAAUGAGCUGACAACCUACUCCCUGGUCACUGGCUCUCCAUGCCUACCUGUGGUCUCUUGGACACCCUUGCAGAAGAUGACUUCCUGGGAACUCUUCUGGGAGUGAAUGUUAUCAGCAAAUUCCCAAAACAACACCCCUUAGACAAAAAGCCUCCUCACCUAUGCAUUGCCUAGACCACCCACUAAAGGUGAUGGCCACAAAGAGGUGGAUUUGUUGAGUUGGUGCCAUUCCUUCUACUGCCAGCUUCACCAAAACAAUGACACAGUCUUCCUUCUGCAUGGAGACUCUUCUCUUUCCUGUGUUGCAGUGGAUGCCUCCUGCAGAUAAGAAAUGCUUAACUGAGAAAUGCUCAUGUUGGGAUAUCAUCGAUGAGACUUUAAUUUGGGCAUGGUGACUGUUUCCCUUGCUGCCACUUGACUCAAUCCCAGGAGCCUCAGUAGAGGAUAUAAUAUUACACAAGAUGCUCAAAAUGGUGGAAUUGCUCAGUGCUCCCAUAAAUAUACAUUUAUAAUUUUCAUUUGCCACAUGGUAAACUGAAAAAUACAGACUAUAUUAAAAAGAAACUGCAUGAUUUUUUUUCAAAAAUUCAAAGCAUAUUUAAAUAAUAUAUAAAUUAAAUGCCCUCCUCUCUUCCAAUUCUGUCCCUAUACUUUUCCUCUAUUAAGUGAACUACAUGCAUUCUUUUAGUGGAUAGAUGCACACAAACACACAAGCCAUUAUGGGGAAGGAUCCACGUGUGUGGCCAUAUUGUAACACAUUUUUCUGCAAAUUACCUCUUUCAUUUAACAGCCCUUAUUCAAUGGCCUUUUUCUUUUUCAGUAGUACAUACACAUCUGUGUCAUUUGUUGAAUGACGACAUGAAUGUUUUGUAGAUAAAAUAUAAUUAAAUGUUUUAAGCAUUUCUCACUCAUAGAUAUUUAUGUUAGCACCAAAUUUCUGUGCAAUGAACCUCCCUAUAUAUCAGUAAUUUUGCAUUUGUCUAUAAUAUCAUAAUAAAUUACUUAUCAGUUGAAUUACUGGGAUUAAGUAUGUGCACACUUUAUAUUUAUAUUUUGAAAAUUAUUGCAAGAUUGCCUUCAAAAAUGUGGUUAACAACUUUAUCUUCAAAUGGCAAUGAAUGAGAUUGCCAGCUUUCCUACAACCUCACAGACAAUGGAUUUUAUAAAUAUUUAACAUUUUUGCCAAUGUGAUCACCCAAACUAUUGUCUUAAAUUGUAUUUCUUUUGUUUUUGAGUUUGGUCAUUUUUUCAUGUUUAUUAGCCAUCUGUAUUUUUUAAUUUCUUCUUUAUGUCCAAUUUUGUGGGUGGGAGGAGGAUUUAGUCUCUUCCUGAUUUCGAAGAGCUCAUUUACUAUUUCGGGAAAUAAGAUUUGGAUUGUCAACCAUUAUAGCUAUUUUUUACACACUUUUCAACUUUGUUUUUGUUAUAAGAAUGUGUAUGAUUGUUACAUGUCCAAGUAUAACCAUGUUCGCUUUUAUGGCUUCUGAGUUUCAUGUCAUUUUUGGAAAGAUAUAUAUAUUGAGUCCAUAAA